AGUGAACGCUGGCGGUAGGCCUAACACAUGCAAGUCGAACGGCAGCACAGUAAGAGCUUGCUCUUACGGGUGGCGAGUGGCGGACGGGUGAGGAAUACAUCGGAAUCUACUUUUUCGUGGGGGAUAACGUAGGGAAACUUACGCUAAUACCGCAUACGACCUACGGGUGAAAGCAGGGGAUCUUCGGACCUUGCGCGAUUGAAUGAGCCGAUGUCGGAUUAGCUAGUUGGCGGGGUAAAGGCCCACCAAGGCGACGAUCCGUAGCUGGUCUGAGAGGAUGAUCAGCCACACUGGAACUGAGACACGGUCCAGACUCCUACGGGAGGCAGCAGUGGGGAAUAUUGGACAAUGGGCGCAAGCCUGAUCCAGCCAUACCGCGUGGGUGGAGAAGGCCUUCGGGUUGUAAAGCCCUUUUGUUGGGAAAGAAAAGCAGCAGGUUAAUACCCCGCUGUUCUGACGGUACCCAAAGAAUAAGCACCGGCUAACUUCAUG
RNAcentral lists this ribosomal RNA (492 nucleotides) under uncultured bacterium. Its description in RNAcentral is "partial 16S ribosomal RNA". It matches the Rfam family "Bacterial small subunit ribosomal RNA", at positions 29 to 507 of the family's 1533-position model. The record is from RNAcentral.